RNAcentral lists this small RNA (5000 nucleotides) under Pongo abelii (Sumatran orangutan). RNAcentral's name for it is "retained intron". The record is from RNAcentral. Lineage: Eukaryota; Metazoa; Chordata; Mammalia; Primates; Hominidae.
UCACCAUGAGACUAGAUCUCACCAUGAGGCUGGGGAUCCCGCACAUCUGGGAGCAGAUGGGCUGUGCAAAGGGCACGGCUGCUGAGGACAGGGCUGUGGCUGGAGAACCCGCUGCUUCCUGAAGCCCAGCCCCACCCUAAAGGACCGAGAGCACACGCCAUGGGAAAGGAACCGAGCAGGGGUGCAGAGCCUGGUGGCACUGUGCUGAGAGAGGAGGAGGCUGGGCAGGGCCCCAGUGCUGGAGAGGUGCCCUGCAUAUGGGACCUCUCAGAGGUGCAGAAGAGCUGUGUGCCCAGGUACCCCGUCUCUUCUCCUUCUCCAUCCCCCAGCCUACUCUCCUAAUGGUCUGUGUCUUUCAGGGAUGAGAUUUACUGCCAGAUCUGCAAGCAGCUCUCGGAGAACUUCAAAACAAGCAGCCUGGCCCGGGGCUGGAUCCUGCUCAGCCUCUGCCUCGGCUGCUUCCCACCCUCAGAGAGGUUCAUGAAGUAUCUACUGAACUUCAUCGGCCAAGGGCCGGCGACCUAUGGCCCCUUCUGUGCCGAGCGCCUGAGACGCACCUAUGCCAACGGGGUGCGUGCGGAGCCCCCCACCUGGCUGGAGCUGCAGGCUGUCAAGUCCAAGAAGCGCAUCCCCAUCCAAGUCAUCUUGGCCACUGGAGAAAGCCUAACCGUCCCCGUGGACUCAGCCUCCACAUCUCGGGAAAUGUGCGUGCACAUCGCUCACAAGCAGGGCCUCAGCGACCACCUGGGCUUCUCCCUCCAGGUCGCUGUGUACGACAAGUUCUGGUCCCUGGGCAGCGGGCGCGACCACAUGAUGGAUGCCAUCGCCCAGUGUGAGCAGCUGGCCCAGGAGAGGGGCGAGAGCCAGCGCCAGUCACCCUGGCGCAUCUACUUCCGGAAGGAAUUCUUCACCCCCUGGCACGACUCCCGGGAGGACCCCGUCAGCACCGAGCUUAUUUACCGCCAAGUCCUCCACGGAGUCUGGUCUGGCGAGUACAGCUUCGAGAAGGAGGAAGAGCUGGUUGAGCUGCUGGCCCGGCACUGCUACGUGCAGCUCGGCGCCUCAGCGGAGAGCAAGGCUGUCCAGGAGCUGCUGCCCAGCUGCAUCCCCCACAAGCUGUACAGGACCAAGCCCCCAGACAGGUGGGCGAGCCUCGUCACUGCCGCCUGCACCAAGGCCCCAUACACUCAGAGGCAAGCCACACCACUGGCCGUGAGAGAGCAGGUGGUGGAUGCCGCCCGCCUGCAGUGGCCGCUGCUCUUCUCCCGGCUCUUUGAAGUCAUCACACUCUCAGGCCCCCGCCUGCCCAAGACGCAGCUGAUCUUGGCUGUUAACUGGAAGGGGCUUUGCUUCCUGGACCAGCGGGAGAAGAUGCUGCUGGAACUCUCUUUCCCAGAGGUCAUGGGUCUGGCCACCAACAGGGAGGCCCAGGGCGGGCAGAGGCUGCUGCUCUCCACAAUGCAUGAGGAGUACGAGUUUGUGUCGCCCAGCAGUGUGGCCAUCGCUGAGCUGGUGGCCCUGCUUCUGGAGGGCCUGAAGGAGAGGUCCGUGUUCGCCAUGGCCCUGCAGGACAGGAAGGCCACAGAUGAUGCCACCCUCCUGGCCUUCAAGAAGGGGGACCUGUUGGUUUUGACAAAGAAGCAGGGGCUGCUGGCCUCUGAGAACUGGACCCUCGGCCAGAACGACAGGACAGGCAAGACGGGGCUGGUGCCCACGGCCUGCCUCUACACCAUCCCCACGGUCACUAAGCCCUCGGCACAGCUGCUGAGCUUGCUUGCCAUGUCACCAGAGAAGAGGAAGCUGGCGGCUCAGGAGGGGCAGUUCGCAGAGCCACGUCCUGAGGACCCACCCAAGGAAAAGCUGCACACCCUGGAGGAGUUCUCCUAUGAGUUCUUCAGGGCUCCAGAGAAGGAUAUAGUGAGCAUGGCCGUGCUGCCCCUGGCCCGUGCCCGCGGCCACCUGUGGGCCUAUUCCUCCGAGCCGCUGCGACAGCCGCUGCUCAAGCGAGUCCACGCCAACGUCGACCUCUGGGACAUCGCCUGCCAGAUCUUUGUCGCCAUCCUCCGGUACAUGGGCGACUACCCUUCUCGGCAGGCCUGGCCCACCCUGGAGCUCACCGACCAGAUCUUCACGCUGGCCCUGCAGCACCCGGCCCUGCAGGACGAGGUCUACUGCCAGAUCCUGAAGCAGCUGACGCACAACUCCAACAGGCACAGCGAGGAGCGGGGCUGGCAGCUGCUGUGGCUGUGCACGGGCCUCUUCCCGCCCAGCAAGGGGCUGCUGCCCCACGCCCAGAAGUUUAUAGACACUCGGAGGGGGAAGCUGCUGGCCGCCGACUGCAGCCGUCGCAUCCAGAGGGUCCUGAGGACAGGGCCCCGGAAGCAGCCCCCGCACCAGGUGGAGGUGGAGGCCGCGGAGCAGAACGUCUCCCGCAUCUGCCACAAGGUCUACUUCCCCAACGACACCAGCGAGAUGCUGGAGGUGGUUGCCAACACACGGGUGCGGGAUGUGUGUGACAGCAUUGCCACCAGGCUGCAGCUGGCCUCCUGGGAAGGCUGCAGCCUCUUCAUCAAGAUUGCAGACAAGGUGGGCUGGGCUGGGGCUGGGCAGACGGCAGGCGGGAGGCCAGUAAGCGGGGCCCUAGGUGCUGCCUGUGGGGGCCUCAGCCUACCAGGGGCACCCAUGCUGGAUCAGGCUGCACGGCCAGGGCUGCCGAGACGGAGGUAGGUGGGGUCCUGGAGCAGAGCCAGUGCCACACGCCAAUAGCCCAUGCACAGCCGACUCCAGCGCAGCACCCAGGCCGCAGGUGGCCACUGGACCAGAGCCCAGCAGGGCCCUCUCAGGAGGACAGUCCCCGGAAGCCACCCAACUUCCCUGUACCUUCUCCUUCCCCAGGUCAUCAGCCAGAAGGAGGGAGACUUCUUCUUUGAUUCCUUGAGGCAGGUGUCUGACUGGGUAAAGAAGAACAAGCCCCAGAAAGAAGGUGAGGAGGCCUCUGUGGAGCUGGGGGAGGGCGUGGCUGGGUGGGGCGAGGGGGCACCGUCGGCCUCCGUGCGGCCCAUGCCCAUUCAUCCAUCCAUUCAUUCCUGUCUGUCCCUGGGUUGUGGGGACAACCAGGUCCUAGGGCUCGGUGGUGAGGGCCUCCCAGCUCAGGCAGGAAUAGGUGGCUGCACCGCAGAGUGAUGAAGGAUGCCCCGGGGCUGAGGGGCAUGACCCUCAUGGGCCGGGGGUGGGAGUCCAGGAACGUUCCUGGAGAAGGCAGCUUCUACACUAAUCUUGAAGGCUGAGGAAAACGUGGGGACUGGGGAGGAAGAAGGGUGGAGGCUUUCCAGGCAGGGAGGUGGCAGGCGUGGUGUGGGGGUGGCAGGGGGUCAGGGCUGGUGCACUUGCUGGGACAGGCUUGGUGCCCACUGCUGGCCCUCGCCCAGGGGCCCCCGUGACGCUCCCCUACCAGGUGUACUUCAUGCGGAAAUUGUGGCUCAACAUAUCCCCGGGGAAGGAUGUGAAUGCGGACACCAUACUCCAUUACCACCAGGUACCGGGCAGGCUGCCCUGGUGGGCACUGGGGCCACCCCCAUCCUCCCACACCUGUUCUGAGGCUGUAGAAGCCAGCAGGCCAGGGCAGGGCCAGCCUCAGCCCUGGGUACCAGCCCAUGUGGUAGGCAGACCAAGCCCCUGAGGGCUCUGGAACCAGGAGCAGAGGGCAGCAACGUCUGGGGACAGUGACUGCACUGGCACCUGCAGCAUGACUUGGAGAGGGUGGGACAGAGGGUCCUGUGGCCCGUGGAGCAGUGGCCGUGGCCUGCAGGGCCAACCACAUGGGUGGAGCAGGCCACCACCUCCACGCAGACGUCAGGGGGCCUGCAGGGCCAACCACGUGGGUGGAGCAGGCCACCACCUCCACGCAGACGUCAGGGGGCCCUGCCCUGACUCAGGGUCAUUCCCCUGGCCUGAAACUCUCUACCCUGCUCAGUCCGUCCUGGAUGGAGUGGGCUAAGCCCCAGUUCCCCACCAUCUGAGCGGGAAAGAGGUUGGGGGUGGGUGGGCCGCAGCCGGAGACCCAGCAUGCCCAGUGUGUCCACUACCCAGGAGCUGCCCAAGUACCUGCGCGGAUUCCACAAGUGUUCGCGGGAGGACGCCAUCCACCUGGCGGGCCUCAUCUACAAGGCCCAGUUCGACAAUGACCGGUCCCAGCUGGCUAGUGUCCCCAAGAUCCUGAGGGAACUGGUGCCCGAGAACCUCACACGCCUGAUGUCCUCGGAGGAGUGGAAAAAGAGCAUCCUUCUGGCCUAUGAUAAGCACAAGGACAAGACAGUGGAGGAGACCAAGGUGGCCUUCCUGAAGUGGAUCUGCCGGUGGCCCACCUUCGGGUCUGCCUUCUUCGAGGUGAAGCAAACCUCGGAGCCCUCCUACCCAGACAUCAUCCUCAUCGCCAUCAACCGACAUGGGGUUCUGCUCAUCCACCCCAAGACCAAGGACCUGCUCACCACCUAUCCCUUCACCAAGAUCUCCAGCUGGAGCAGCGGCAGCACCUACUUCCACAUAGCACUGGGGAGCCUGGGCCGUGGCAGCCGCCUGCUGUGCGAGACCUCCCUGGGCUACAAGAUGGACGACCUGCUGGCCUCAUACGUGCAGCAGCUCCUGAGUGCCAUGAACAAGCAGCGGGGCUCCAAGGCCCCAGCCCUGGCCAGCACCUAGCAGCGGACGCUGGCGUGUCUGCUCAGGCGCCCUUCCCGACCUCUAUCCUGGCGGCACCUUCCCAGGCCCUCUCAGCCCAGGGCCUGUCCUCGGCAGGCAGCCUUCCAUGCUGCCCCCAUACAAAGCCCACUCAGCCCCGCAGGCGGCCCCCUCUGUCCUGGACGCUGCCCCGGGAGGCCCAAAGACGGGCCCAGAGUGGGGUCGGGAGUCUCGGACCCCCAGGCUGUUGGUGGAUGGCUGAGAGGACACCUCCCAACCCCACCCCACCAGAAUGUUCAAUAAAAACCCCUGGAGCAGGAGAA